UGGGUAGGGGAGUCACAUACGGGUUGAAGCAUGACCGUAAGGACAUGUGGACAGUAUGGGAGUGAGAAUGUUGGCAUGAGUAGCGAGAUGUGGGUGAGAAUCCCACAGGCCGUAAACCCAAGGUUGCCAGGGGAAGGUUCGUCCGCCCUGGGUUAGUCGGGACCUAAGCUGAGGCCGAAAGGCGUAGGUGAUGGACAACAGGUUGAUAUUCCUGUACUACCGAUAACCGUUUG
Molecule: ribosomal RNA, 233 nt
Filed under: Clostridioides difficile
Lineage: Bacteria; Bacillati; Bacillota; Clostridia; Peptostreptococcales; Peptostreptococcaceae
Description: partial 23S ribosomal RNA
Rfam family: Bacterial large subunit ribosomal RNA
Source: RNAcentral